RNAcentral lists this ribosomal RNA (493 nucleotides) under uncultured bacterium. RNAcentral describes it as "bacterial SSU rRNA". It matches the Rfam family "Bacterial small subunit ribosomal RNA", at positions 28 to 524 of the family's 1533-position model. The record is from RNAcentral.
GAUGAACGCUAGCGGGAGGCCUAACACAUGCAAGCCGAGCGGUAGAGAUUCUUCGGAAUCUUGAGAGCGGCGUACGGUGCGGAACACGUGUGCAACCUACCUUUAUCUGGAGGAUAGCCUUUCGAAGGAAGAUUAAUACUCCAUAAUAUAUUGAUUGGCAUCAAUUGAUAUUGAAAGCUCCGGCGGAUAGAGAUGGGCACGCGCAAGAUUAGUUAGUUGGUGAGGUAACGGCUCACCAAGACGAUGAUCUUUAGGGGGCCUGAGAGGGUGAUCCCCACACUGGUACUGAGACACGGACCAGACUCCUACGGGAGGCAGCAGUGAGGAAUAUUGGUCAAUGGGUGCAAGCCUGAACCAGCCAUCCCGCGUGAAGGACGACUGCCCUAUGGGUUGUAAACUCCUUUUGUAUAGGGAUAAACCUACCCUCGUGAGGGUAGCUGAAGGUACUAUACGAAUAAGCACCGGCUAACUCCGUGCCAGCAGCCGCGGUAAU